AGACAUUUUAUUGCCGGCACCACAGGCACGGUUGAAUAUGAGUGUAAAACUAAAAUACAAAAUACGAAAUAUACAAUAUAAAUUCCCCUGUUGCGGACGGCACAGCUCGAGCAGCGCUGCCCGCGCAGCAGUUUCCAAUUCUGCGCGUCAGCUACCCGUGCAGACGCUGUCGACGGAUGUCUAUGCAAUUGAUGAAUCGCGAUGCCCGUCCACUCCAGCGCAGUAUCAGCGUUCUUACAAAGUAAGAAUUCCGCGAAUACCCUGCAGCUGGUGGGGAGUGUUAGCUGCUCUCCCUCUUCAAGUGUGGUCGCCCUCGAAUAUCUCAAGUUCUCUAUCAGCGCGUUAACCUGGACCAAAUUCCUUCCCUUCUUGAGUAGGGAUCUGAGAUAGAGGAUGAUGUCGAUGGCUCCGCAGGAGGCUGCUCCUACUCCAAUGGUAAGGAUGGGAUUCACCUUGCCCAUUGUGGUUCGCUCAAUCUCCUUGAUGUAGUUUAGAUUUAGACACCUCGCUGAGCUGGUGUAGGAAUGGUAGGCUCAGGACCUUAUGGGGCCCCGUGAUGUUCAUGGCGGGCACCGAGGGAGCCGUUAAUGGUGGCGAAGUCGUCGAAGGCGACCAGUUGCGUCCCGGGGGUUUCAACCAACGUAUCGGAAUCACAGCUGAUCGUGGCGGGUCUGUUUUUGACAAUAAUGACCCCACCGUCCACGAGGAUGAUGGUCUCCAGGUGGCUGGGUUGAGAGUGUCAAUGCAAAGUGCCUACAGAGUGUAGACCCUGGGCGCAGGAACCCUCCGAUUCCCUGUUGCAGAAGGUGGUAGUAGUAGUGGUGGUGUAGCCCGUAACGGCCCACACCUGGCUCCGAACUCGGCUACGACGUUGUCCAUAAGUUGUAGUAGGGUACCGUUGUGCUCAGCCGGGAGUAGCGUGACCUUCUUACAAGCUAAACUUAAUCUAGGAUACUCUAUAAUGAAAUGAACAAUAUUAAUUGAUUGUGAAUCCUUAAUGCUGGAUACUACUAACAGAUUGGAAAUGGUGACCCCUGUGAAUUGUUUAGUGAGAAUGGAUUCUAUGUCAGCAUGGUCAAGUAGAGAAGGGCUUACCAAGUUGGCUUUGGCCAAGGUGAUUGUGUUCAUGCGCGGCCGGCUCGCCGGCUAUGUUUUAGUUAGGUUCAGAAUUAAGUUUCAGUUUAAUAUUUGACAAAUAAAUUAACGGAUCGUUCAUAUUAACAUCGACAGGAGUCGUAAAACCUUUAUUAACAUAAUUACAUUGUUAAGCCUUAAGGGCCAGCAAAGAAUUUGUCAAAGAAUUUGUACCUCCCCUUCGCUGAUCGUUCAUGUGUUGCGACUACGAUCGCACACUUAUGAGCUAAGCUAAGUCAGCCUCGACAUUGACAAAAAUCAACAACAACAACACCAAGAAGGAGAAGGUUAUGAAGGCAAAUUGGGGAAUCAACAGCGGAUCCAUCGACCAACAAAGGAAACUCCCAUAAACGCAGUGAGUAGAGUGGUAUGUGUGGCAAAAGAGACGGCGUUGUAAAACGCCAAAGAUAUCGAAUAAGUAAACUGCUUAAACUGCUGUAGUAUGCAAGUUAACACAUAUUACAAGUUAUCGCACCACCUUAACUUCAUCAUCUUGCGCCACCCCACACAUAAACAUCUUGCAGCGCUCAGUUCAGAAAGCUGACACAGCACUGACGCUGUUGUGGGCCGUCUCUCACUCCAUUGGCCAACGGCCGUCGCCUGAUUCUGGCGGAUGUGCUGGGGUCAGCGAAUUCCAUUCUUGCAUGAAUGGUUCGCGAGCUGGGGAUCUGGGAGUUAAGUUUCAGUUUUUAGAAUGAAUUAAUAAACGAACGGUUCAAAUCAAUUGCACCAGCUGAACCUGAGAGGCCAGCGCCACAGGGGAUCUAAACACUCCCAACAAAGGGGCAGCCACCUAGACAUCGCUGCCACCACCACCCUCGCCCCGCGAGAACCUCCUGCUGCCACCGCAUGCCGCCGCCGCCCUCGCCCCGCGAGAACUUCCUGCUGACGCCGCACGCCGCCGCCGCAGCAGCACAUUAAAACAUAAUUUAUAUACAUACAUAUAUAUUAAAACACAUAAAUGCGGCUGCUCCGCUGCCGGUGUUGCCGGUGUUGCCAACUCAAGAAAGACGGGUGUCUUUUAAAAUUGAUUAGCCAUAUAACUUGUCUACAUGGCGACCGUGACAUUGAGGCCUGAAAAUAAUUCUGCAAAAACAAUUUACACGCAAAAAAAUGUGACAAUAACAAAAUAACACUGCGAAAUCAGUUUUCACGCAAAUAAUAAAAUGUGUAAGUAGUUCCAAUAAGAGAGUGGAAGAAAAGUAAACGAAGAUAAAGACCUGAAAAGGCACCGACAACGCUACAUAGAGCGUACUUCGAUGACCUGUGCGAUGACCGGCACCGGCACCGCCUGAGCCCAUAGGCCCAUAGGACAACUGCAGCGUAAAAUAUAAGCGUGAGAGGCCUGACGCCCCUUACGCCAUCGUUGGAAACAAGCUGGAGACGGAUCUCCUUAACGCUGCUCAUAUCGAGCAAAGGGACAAGCCGAGUCUAAAGGAGGCUUUAGAGGCUUGUCCAUCCGAUGGACCGCGCCCACUCACAAUAGCUGGGUACCGGGCACGCCAGCAGACGUAACAGCCCAAGAAACAGAAGAAGCGGGGAGGAAAACGCAGCGAGGAACAGGACAAAUUAAAAAACCGGAGGACCUAAGCAGGAAUCUUUGCGAUGCAAAGUAACGCAAUAUAGGCAGCAUUCAUGCCAAUGCCUAAAUUGCCAAUGCUAUCUAUAAAACUUCUACCCACAAGCUGAUGCGUGCAAACGCUGCUUUUAAAAUUCUGAUAUCUAUUAGGCUUUUACGAAAAACAUAUGGCUGAUAUUGUAAUUAUAUAGAGAAAAACCAAUGUAAAUCAGUCAUAUGCCCUAACGCAUACUAUCUUCAUAUUUUCACAAAUUUGUUCUUCUAAAUAUUUCCC
RNAcentral lists this long non-coding RNA (2987 nucleotides) under Drosophila guanche. The record is from RNAcentral. Lineage: Eukaryota; Metazoa; Arthropoda; Insecta; Diptera; Drosophilidae.